RNAcentral lists this ribosomal RNA (471 nucleotides) under uncultured bacterium. RNAcentral's name for it is "partial 16S ribosomal RNA". It matches the Rfam family "Bacterial small subunit ribosomal RNA", at positions 28 to 506 of the family's 1533-position model. The record is from RNAcentral.
GACGAACGCUGGCGGCGUGCUUAACACAUGCAAGUCGAACGAUGAACCCGGAGCUUGCUCUGGGGGAUUAGUGGCGAACGGGUGAGUAACACGUGAGUAACCUGCCCUGGACUCUGGGAUAAGCGUUGGAAACGACGUCUAAUACCGGAUAGGACCUUGGAUCGCAUGAUCUGGGGUGGAAAGUUUUUUCGGUCUGGGAUGGACUCGCGGCCUAUCAGCUUGUUGGUGAGGUAGUGGCUCACCAAGGCGUCGACGGGUAGCCGGCCUGAGAGGGUGACCGGCCACACUGGGACUGAGACACGGCCCAGACUCCUACGGGAGGCAGCAGUGGGGAAUAUUGCACAAUGGGCGAAAGCCUGAUGCAGCAACGCCGCGUGCGGGAUGACGGCCUUCGGGUUGUAAACCGCUUUUAGUAGGGAAGAAGGGCUUCGGCUUGACGGUACCUGCAGAAAAAGGACCGGCUAACUACGU